This 70-nucleotide transfer RNA is filed under the name Mustela putorius furo (domestic ferret). It matches the Rfam family "tRNA". From Rfam's summary of the family: Transfer RNA (tRNA) molecules are approximately 80 nucleotides in length. Lineage: Eukaryota; Metazoa; Chordata; Mammalia; Carnivora; Mustelidae. The record is from Rfam by way of RNAcentral.
ACCUGACUGGCUCAGUGGUAGAGCAUGUGACUCUCGAUCUCGGUUGUGAGUUCGAGCCCCGUGUUGGGCU